CCCUUAGAUGUUCUGGGCUGCACGCGCGCUACACUGAUGCACUCAACGAGUUUACGACCUUGCCCGAUAGGGUUGGGUAAUCUUUUUAAAGUGCAUCGUGAUGGGGAUAGAUUAUUGCAAUUAUUAAUCUUCAACGAGGAAUUCCUAGUAAGCGCGAGUCAUCAGCUCGUGCUGAUUACGUCCCUGCCCUUUGUACACACCGCCCGUCGCUCCUACCGAUUGAGUGCUCAGGUGAAUAAUUCGGACUGCAGCAAUGUUUGGAUCCCGAACGUUGCAGCGGAAAGUUUAGUGAACCUUAUCACUUAGAGGAAGGAGAAGUCGUAACA
This 326-nucleotide ribosomal RNA is filed under the name uncultured eukaryote. RNAcentral's name for it is "partial 18S ribosomal RNA". It matches the Rfam family "Eukaryotic small subunit ribosomal RNA", at positions 1470 to 1796 of the family's 1831-position model. The record is from RNAcentral.